Molecule: unclassified non-coding RNA, 253 nt
Filed under: plant metagenome
Description: partial contains small subunit ribosomal RNA and internal transcribed spacer 1
Rfam family: Eukaryotic small subunit ribosomal RNA (bases 1-46)
Source: RNAcentral
AAGUCGUAACAAGGUUUCCGUAGGUGAACCUGCGGAAGGAUCAUUAAUGAGUUAGGGUCUUCGGGCCCGACCUCCAACCCUUUGUAGUUGAAAACCCUUGUUGCUUUGGCGGGACCAGUCCGCGUCCCUUUUCCCCCUUCACCGGGGGAUCGUGGCACGGCCGCCGGUCUUCGGCCCGUCGAGCGCCCGCCAGAGUCAAACCAAACUCUUGUUUUAACAGUAUCGUCUGAGUAAAUUGAUAAAUCAAUUAAAA